This 301-nucleotide ribosomal RNA is filed under the name uncultured bacterium. RNAcentral describes it as "partial 16S ribosomal RNA". It matches the Rfam family "Bacterial small subunit ribosomal RNA", at positions 509 to 807 of the family's 1533-position model. The record is from RNAcentral.
CAGCAGCCGCGGUAAUACGGAGGGAGCUAGCGUUGUUCGGAAUCACUGGGCGUAAAGCGCACGUAGGCGGCUAUUCAAGUCAGGGGUGAAAGCCCGGGGCUCAACCCCGGAACUGCCUUUGAAACUAGAUAGCUUGAAUCUUGGAGAGGCGAGUGGAAUUCCGAGUGUAGAGGUGAAAUUCGUAGAUAUUCGGAAGAACACCAGUGGCGAAGGCGACUCGCUGGACAAGCAUUGACGCUGAGGUGCGAAAGCGUGGGGAGCAAACAGGAUUAGAGACCCGUGUAGUCCCUGUCUCUUAUAC